UGGUUUUUAUUUAAUUUUGUGAUUAAAGUUUUUAUUGAUUUCCCUGCAGGGUAAAAUAUAUCAAUAUCUUUGGUUUCAAAGGAGCAUUCAGUAACAAGAAAACAUAAAAGGACUCAACCACAAAAAAGCAGUGGAAGACAUUUCCAGCAAAAGAAAUUUCUGAUCAUCAGCAAUGAAGGUACAAAGGAAAACAGAAAAGGAAAGCGAGUAAAUAACUUUUGAUGUGGCAGUUUUUUUUAAGUAACAUAGAGAUUUAUACAAGGUGGAUUGCAUCUAUCUAAGGACAAAGAAAUAUAGCAGAAAAAGGACUGAAUUUUCCCACUGCUCUUUGGAGGCAUAGAACCUCCAACUCCAUCUUGACUCUCCCAUUUAUUCCUUGUGUUAAUCUAGGUAAGUCCUUUAAUCCCUCGGGGCUUCUCUCUCCUCAUAUGUAAAAUUAUAUAGUUGGACUAUCUGAUUUCUGAGGGUCCUUCCAGCUUAAAACUCAAAUCACAGGCAAUUACAUCUAAGGUCCAUCUUGUUCAUUCCAAAGUCUUGGUUUGGACC
This 546-nucleotide long non-coding RNA is filed under the name Phascolarctos cinereus (koala). RNAcentral describes it as "lncRNA (ENSPCIG00000034517.1)". Lineage: Eukaryota; Metazoa; Chordata; Mammalia; Diprotodontia; Phascolarctidae. The record is from RNAcentral.